UACGGAAGGCAGCAGUGGGGAAUAUUGCACAAUGGGCGCAAGCCUGAUGCAGCCAUGCCGCGUGUAUGAAGAAGGCCUUCGGGUUGUAAAGUACUUUCAGUCGUGAGGAAGGUGUUAAGGUUAAUAACCUUAGCAAUUGACGUUAGCGACAGAAGAAGCACCGGCUAACUCCGUGCCAGCAGCCGCGGUAAUACGGAGGGUGCGAGCGUUAAUCGGAAUUACUGGGCGUAAAGGGCACGCAGGCGGUUAAUUAAGUUGGAUGUGAAAUCCCCGGGCUUAACCUGGGAAUGGCAUUCAAGACUGGUUAGCUAGAGUCUUGUAGAGGGGGUAGAAUUCCGAUGUGUAGCGGUGAAAUGCGUAGAGAUGUGGAGGAAUACCGGUGGCGAAGGCGGCCCCUGGACAAAGGCUGACGCUCAUGUGCGAAAGCGUGGGGAGCGAAACAGGGAUUAGAUACC
RNAcentral lists this ribosomal RNA (455 nucleotides) under uncultured bacterium. Its description in RNAcentral is "bacterial SSU rRNA". It matches the Rfam family "Bacterial small subunit ribosomal RNA", at positions 340 to 786 of the family's 1533-position model. The record is from RNAcentral.